Non-coding RNA from Ciona intestinalis (vase tunicate), 447 nucleotides. The record is from RefSeq and is a predicted model, not a curated record. NCBI's taxonomy places the organism in Eukaryota, Metazoa, Chordata, Ascidiacea, Phlebobranchia, Cionidae.
UAAAAAAUCGUUAAAUGUUUGUUUACUACCAAAUUGGGAAGGAAAAUAGAUUGAAAAGGUGUCCCAUCUUCCCCCACCCUACUAUAUAAAAUAAUAGCAAACUUGUAUUUGUUAGAAACAAUUUUUCAAGAGAAACCUAAUUUUUGUUAAGGUUGUUUAAAGGCCGUUGCUAUUCGUUUAUACAGUCUGUUAAUUGUACUAUAACAGCAAACUUUAAAACCUUUUAAAACUUAAUUUUUUUUUUUAAAUUCAUUUUUGCGCUUAUUUUUAAUUUUUUCGACACAAUAAGACCAAAUACCAAAAGCGCGUGAAUGCCAGAGUGUAAACGUACACUGAGACCAAUGGUAUAACGUACUUGUAUAAUAGGCUUCAUACUGAAUACACAAUGUAUCAUACCGUAGCUUAAAUAUUCGUUAUCAAAACACGAUCGCAACAUUGCCACGGGCA